AGCGAACGCUGGCGGCAUGCUUAACACAUGCAAGUCGCACGGCCGGCAACGGCAGUGGCGGACGGGUGAGUAACGCGUAGGUAUCUAUCUCCGGGUGGGGGACAACUGUGGGAAACUACAGCUAAUACCGCAUGAUGCCCGAGGGCCAAAGGCGCAAGUCGCCUGGAGAGGAGCCUGCGUACGAUUAGCUUGUUGGCGGGGUAAAGGCCCACCAAGGCGACGAUCGUUAGCUGGUCUGAGAGGAUGAUCAGCCACACUGGGACUGAGACACGGCCCA
Molecule: ribosomal RNA, 277 nt
Filed under: uncultured bacterium
Lineage: Bacteria
Description: partial 16S ribosomal RNA
Rfam family: Bacterial small subunit ribosomal RNA
Source: RNAcentral